RNAcentral lists this ribosomal RNA (253 nucleotides) under uncultured bacterium. RNAcentral describes it as "partial 16S ribosomal RNA". It matches the Rfam family "Bacterial small subunit ribosomal RNA", at positions 524 to 776 of the family's 1533-position model. The record is from RNAcentral.
UACGUAGGGGGCAAGCGUUGUCCGGAAUCAUUGGGCGUAAAGCGCGCGUAGGCGGCCGGGUAAGUCCGUUGUAAAAGUCGAAGGCUCAACCUUCGAAAGCCGAUGGAUACUGCCGGGCUAGAGUCCGGAAGAGGCGAGUGGAAUUCCUGGUGUAGCGGUGGAAUGCGCAGAUAUCAGGAGGAACACCCAUAGCGAAGGCAGCUCGCUGGGAUGGUACUGACGCUGAGGCGCGAAAGCGUGGGGAGCGAACAGG